This is a long non-coding RNA of Cercocebus atys (sooty mangabey), 1321 nucleotides long. RefSeq lists it as uncharacterized. The transcript is spliced from 3 exons. NCBI's taxonomy places the organism in Eukaryota, Metazoa, Chordata, Mammalia, Primates, Cercopithecidae. The record is from RefSeq and is a predicted model, not a curated record.
UUUCCUUGCUGAUGGAGAGGAAUAGUGUCACUCCCAUUUGACUCGGUAACCCGGCAGCUUCCUGUCUUAAACGCAGAGCUGGCGCGCAGGACACUCCUCCUGCAGACACUUAUUACACAAGUUCAGUUGCACCUCGUGCAAAACAGCCCUGAAAGCUCAGGCUUGAAGACGAAAUGUGGAGCCCAGGCUCCUUCGAUUGAAAACUUCGCUACGAGGACACUCUCCGCAGUCGCCGGCCAGAAAGGAUUUCGGAUCAAGAUCCGCAGAGUGCUCCAGCUGUCUCUUGGACGCCUCCACUGGAAGGCCGACGGGCACCUUCAAUUUCACGUGUUCACUUCAGAGCACCCCUGAGCCGGCUACCCCUGCUCCCCUGAUCUGCGCCUUCCCAGUUUCUCCCAGUCACCCAGCUGGCCACCGCGAAGGAGACAUCCCUGAUCCUUCAUUUUCUCUAGAGUCACCCCCUGUCCAUUAGCAAGGCCUGUUGGCUCUGCCUCCACAUCUGUUCCACAGCUCCCCCAUACUCCUCUGUCCUCCACUAGCCCCCAAGCCCUUUCCCCUGUGCCUGCAGGGUUGCAUGGCCUCCUAACCAGCUCUCCACCUCACACGUGUGCCCUGUGGUUCACUGUUCUCCAUACAACAGAGUAAGCUUCAGCUCAGACCUAUCCUUGGUCAAAACCAGUGGUUUCCACGUGCACUGAGAAUUAGACACAUUCUUACAAUGUCCUUCAAGGCACCAUGAAAUCCACCCACCACUUCCCUUACCUGAGGUUCUAAGUCUAGUUUUGCCAGUUCUUGAGCCUCCAAGCCAUGGCCACCUCAGGGGAGCUCUUUUCCUUUGGUCCUGGCUCUUUAUUCAUCUGGUACAUUCUUUCUGUGCAUCUUUGGGCACAGACUGUCCCCCAGAGAAAGGUCAUACGAUCUAAAAUGACUCCCUAAUCCAGUUGUGUUCCCCACAGCACUUACGGCUACUUGCAGUUGUAAAGGUGUUGGUGCGUUUUUUUAUUGGUCUCUCAUCUAGAACGUACCUUCUGGAGGGCAGGGCCUUGUCAUCUUCCUGGCUGUACCCUCAGUCCUGCUAAAGGGACUGGCAUACAGUAACAUGAAGCCAGUGCUCUCAGACUUUCUGGUCACAGGACUGCUUUAUGCUCUUAGGAAUUACUGAGCUCCCGAAAGAGCUUUUGUAUAUAGCAACAGAUAGAUUUAGACAUCUAUCCAGUGAUUUGCACAGUAUUAGAGAUUGAAAUGGUAAUGUUUUAAAUAUAUUGAUUAAUUGAUUCAUUUACAAUGACAAUAAAAACCCACUUCAUGUUUACUUAACAUA